Molecule: ribosomal RNA, 562 nt
Filed under: Alternaria brassicae
Lineage: Eukaryota; Fungi; Ascomycota; Dothideomycetes; Pleosporales; Pleosporaceae
Description: eukaryotic LSU rRNA
Rfam family: 5.8S ribosomal RNA (bases 198-351)
Source: RNAcentral
UUCCGUAGGGGUGACCUGCGGAGGGAUCAUUACACAAAUAUGAAGGCGGGCUGGAACCUCUCGGGGUUACAGCCUUGCUGAAUUAUUCACCCUUGUCUUUUGCGUACUUCUUGUUUCCUUGGUGGGUUCGCCCACCACUAGGACAAACAUAAACCUUUUGUAAUUGCAAUCAGCGUCAGUAACAAAUUAAUAAUUACAACUUUCAACAACGGAUCUCUUGGUUCUGGCAUCGAUGAAGAACGCAGCGAAAUGCGAUAAGUAGUGUGAAUUGCAGAAUUCAGUGAAUCAUCGAAUCUUUGAACGCACAUUGCGCCCUUUGGUAUUCCAAAGGGCAUGCCUGUUCGAGCGUCAUUUGUACCCUCAAGCUUUGCUUGGUGUUGGGCGUCUUGUCUCUAGCUUUGCUGGAGACUCGCCUUAAAGUAAUUGGCAGCCGGCCUACUGGUUUCGGAGCGCAGCACAAGUCGCACUCUCUAUCAGCAAAGGUCUAGCAUCCAUUAAGCCUUUUUUUCAACUUUUGACCUCGGAUCAGGUAGGGAUACCCGCUGAACUUAAGCAUAUCAAA